This 85-nucleotide ribosomal RNA is filed under the name Azotobacter chroococcum. Lineage: Bacteria; Pseudomonadati; Pseudomonadota; Gammaproteobacteria; Pseudomonadales; Pseudomonadaceae. The record is from RNAcentral.
AUCCCAUCCCGAACUCAGCAGUGAAACGACGCAUCGCCGAUGGUAGUGUGGGGUUUCCCCAUGCGAGAGUAGGUCAUCGUCAAGC